CAGCAGCCGCGGGAAUACAGAGGGUGCGAGCGUUACUCGGAAUUACUGGGCGUAAAGCGUGCGUAGGUGGUGGUUUAAGUCCGUUGUGAAAGCCCUGGGCUCAACCUGGGAAUUGCAGUGGAUACUGGGUCACUAGAGUGUGGUAGAGGAUAGUGGAAUUUCCGGUGUAGCAGUGAAAUGCGUAGAGAUCGGAAGGAACAUCUGUGGCGAAGGCGACUAUCUGGGCCAACACUGACACUGAGGCACGAAAGCGUGGGGAGCAAACAGGAUUAGAUACCCGUGUAGUCCCUGUCUCUUAUAC
RNAcentral lists this ribosomal RNA (301 nucleotides) under uncultured bacterium. RNAcentral's name for it is "partial 16S ribosomal RNA". It matches the Rfam family "Bacterial small subunit ribosomal RNA", at positions 509 to 807 of the family's 1533-position model. The record is from RNAcentral.